RNAcentral lists this ribosomal RNA (433 nucleotides) under uncultured bacterium. Its description in RNAcentral is "partial 16S ribosomal RNA". It matches the Rfam family "Bacterial small subunit ribosomal RNA", at positions 29 to 507 of the family's 1533-position model. The record is from RNAcentral.
AACGAACGCUGGCGGCAUGCCUAACACAUGCAAGUCGAACGAGACCUUCGGGUCUAGUGGCGCACGGGUGCGUAACGCGUGGGAACCUGCCCUUAGGUUCGGAAUAACUCCCCGAAAGGGGUGCUAAUACCGGAUAAUGUCUUCGGACCAAAGAUUUAUCGCCUUUGGAUGGGCCCGCGUUGGAUUGGCUAGUUGGUAGGGUAAGAGCGUACGAAGGCGACGAUCCAGGGCUGGUCUGAGAGGAUGAUCAGCCACACUGGGACUGAGACACGGCCCAGACUCCUACGGGAGGCAGCAGUGGGGAAUAUUGGACAAUGGGCGAAAGCCUGAUCCAGCAAUGCCGCGUGAGUGAUGAAGGCCUUAGGGUUGUAAAGCUCUUUUACCCGGGAUGAUAAUGACAGUACCGGGAGAAUAAGCUCCGGCUAACUCCGUG